RNAcentral lists this unclassified non-coding RNA (287 nucleotides) under Malassezia restricta. RNAcentral describes it as "partial internal transcribed spacer region". The stretch from base 1 to 46 matches the Rfam family "Eukaryotic small subunit ribosomal RNA", at positions 1786 to 1831 of the family's 1831-position model. Lineage: Eukaryota; Fungi; Basidiomycota; Malasseziomycetes; Malasseziales; Malasseziaceae. The record is from RNAcentral.
AAGUCGUAACAAGGUUUCUGUAGGUGAACCUGCAGAAGGAUCAUUAGUGAAGAUUUGGGCAGGCCAUACGGACGCCAAAAAGUGUCCCUGGCCGCCUACACCCACUAUACAUCCACAAACCCGUGUGCACUGUCUUGGAGAAAGGCUUCAGAGAAGUUUUUUGUGGCCUCUCUUGGGGUCUUUCUUCGCUACAAACUCGAAUGGUUAGUAUGAACGUGGAACUUGGUUGGACCGUCACUGGCCAACAAACUAUACACAACUUUCGACAACGUAUCUCUUGGUUCUCC